GGCGUAGGUGGUGAUCACCAGCUCGUACUCGCGGCCGACCUCCAGCGGGCGAGGUCCACGAGGUGGCUGGCGUCGCUGGACGCGGCGCCGUUCUCGUCCACGGAGAAAAAGAACGGAACGACGGUGACAAAAACAAAAAAAAAACGGGUGGCCGCCCCCGGGAGAUUAGAUCGCUCCCGGGGGCGACGGUGGCGGAAGCGUGAGCGGCGACUCUAGAUCGUUCGCUCUGAUACAUGUUGGACAGUAGAAUAGGGGGAGAGCACUGUGAAUAUUGUAUCUGUU
Molecule: long non-coding RNA, 282 nt
Filed under: Oryza brachyantha (malo sina)
Lineage: Eukaryota; Viridiplantae; Streptophyta; Magnoliopsida; Poales; Poaceae
Description: long non-coding RNA (OBRA_LNC001325)
Source: RNAcentral